GGGAACCUACGGGGGGCAGCAGUAGGGAAUCUUCCACAAUGGGCGAAAGCCUGAUGGAGCAACGCCGCGUGGGUGAAGAAGGUCUUCGGAUCGUAAAUCCCUGUUGUUAGAGAAGAAAGUGCGUGAGGGUAACUGUUCACGUUUCGACGGUAUCUAACCAGAAAGCCACGGCUAACUACGUGCCAGCAGCCGCGGUAAUACGUAGGUGGCAAGCGUUAUCCGGAUUUAUUGGGCGUAAAGAGAACGCAGGCGGUCUUUUAAGUCUGAUGUGAAAGCCUUCGGCUUAACCGGCGUAGUGGCUUGGG
RNAcentral lists this ribosomal RNA (305 nucleotides) under uncultured bacterium. RNAcentral describes it as "bacterial SSU rRNA". It matches the Rfam family "Bacterial small subunit ribosomal RNA", at positions 333 to 630 of the family's 1533-position model. The record is from RNAcentral.